AACCGAGAACUCCUACGGGAGGCAGCAGUGGGGAAUUUUGGACAAUGGGGGCAACCCUGAUCCAGCAAUGCCGCGUGAGUGAAGAAGGCCUUCGGGUUGUAAAGCUCUUUUGUCAGGGAAGAAACGGUAGUAGCUAAUAUCUAUUACUAAUGACGGUACCUGAAGAAUAAGCACCGGCUAACUACGUGCCAGCAGCCGCGGUAAUACGUAGGGUGCAAGCGUUAAUCGGAAUUACUGGGCGUAAAGCGUGCGCAGGCGGUUGUGUAAGUCAGAUGUGGAAUCCCCGGGCUUAACCUGGGAAUUGCAUUUGAGACUGCACGGCUAGAGCGUGCCAGAGGGGGGUAGAAUUCCACGUGUAGCAGUGAAAUGCGUAGAUAUGUGGAGGAAUACCGAUGGCGAAGGCAGCCCCCUGGGAUAACACUGACGCUCAUGCACGAAAGCGUGGGGAGCAAACAGGAUUAGAAACCCCUGUAGUCCGACUGAGA
This 485-nucleotide ribosomal RNA is filed under the name uncultured bacterium. Its description in RNAcentral is "bacterial SSU rRNA". It matches the Rfam family "Bacterial small subunit ribosomal RNA", at positions 327 to 805 of the family's 1533-position model. The record is from RNAcentral.